RNAcentral lists this small RNA (118 nucleotides) under Branchiibius sp. NY16-3462-2. RNAcentral describes it as "Actinobacteria sRNA Ms_IGR-7". It matches the Rfam family "Actinobacteria sRNA Ms_IGR-7". Lineage: Bacteria; Bacillati; Actinomycetota; Actinomycetes; Micrococcales; Dermacoccaceae. The record is from Rfam by way of RNAcentral.
GGAAGGUGCUCCUCGAACUGGUUCCGAUAGUUGCUUCGCAACACCUAUCGUCCCAGGUCAGGAGCACUUUUCAGUUCACAACACGGCCGUCGACACCGACACCCGAUGAAAUCUCGAG